Molecule: ribosomal RNA, 380 nt
Filed under: uncultured bacterium
Lineage: Bacteria
Description: bacterial SSU rRNA
Rfam family: Bacterial small subunit ribosomal RNA
Source: RNAcentral
AACGAACGCUGGCGGCGCGCCUAAUACAUGCAAGUCGAGCGAGAAGACGUAGCAAUACGUUUGUAAAGCGGCGAACGGGUGAGGAAUACAUGGGUAACCUACCCUCGAGUGGGGAAGUAACUAGCCGAAGGUUAGCUAAUACCGCGUACGCUCCUUGGACUUCGGUUCAGGGAGGAAAGCGAUACCGUGGGUAUCGCGCUCUUGGAUGGGCUCAUGUCCUAUCAGCUUGUUGGUGAGGAACGGCUCACCAAGGCUUCGACGGGUAGCUGGUCUGAGAGGACGAUCAGCCACACUGGCACUGCGACACGGGCCAGACUCCUACGGGAGGCAGCAGUAAGGAAUAUUGCGCAAUGGGCGAAAGCCUGACGCAGCGACGCCGC